Molecule: long non-coding RNA, 784 nt
Organism: Cloeon dipterum
Lineage: Eukaryota; Metazoa; Arthropoda; Insecta; Ephemeroptera; Baetidae
Exons: 3
Source: RefSeq, a predicted model, not a curated record
GUGUUUGAAUUUCUUCAGACCGAUGAGCAAAUCAGACAAUUUUGUUUUUAUGGCAUUCAGAUGUGCGUGAAACAAUAUUGCUAUAUCUGCAAACACAACGAUAGUAAUUCCACAACGUCUUGCAACAACUGCUGCCACGUAAUAGACGCAUUUACUCUAUUGGUCGCAUUACUAACAGAACGCAAGAGUGAUUUCACUGCCAGCUUGAAUCUUUAUCAAAAUAUCUUUGAUACGCAAUGUUGCGCUUUGCUACAGCAUAAAAAGUUAGGCAGUGGAAUUAACCAAUGGCCAUACCAACGCAUCCUCGGCAACCUCUUUUCGCUUAUCAGCAACAAUCACACAUCAAAGCUUGUCAAAAGAGAGAUUGCAUUGGUGUUGUACGACACACUGCGUACUUUGCGACCGUCACAAGUUUCGAUUUUCACGUCAGCGUGGGUUAAAAAGGUAUCAAAUGAAAGUUUAAUGAAAAGUUUGCUCAUCACUCGCGCGGAUUUGGUAAUUAACUGAAUAACUUUCUGUACGUAUUGGGUAAAAUAAGUUUUUCUUUCCUAUAGUAUUGGAGUUAUUACGCUCAGCUGUUGAUUGAUGCAUUCGAAUUCCUGGAAAAAACAUUCGUUUGGAACAAGGACAUCCCUAAAUUAGUCGGCCAUUUCUUUCUGGAGAUAAUGAAAGUGUUGAGGUUGCUGAAUGAAUCGUACCCUGAAUUCUUUCAAAAGCUCAACAGCAAUGAUUACGGCAUUCCAUCUAACGGUGUUCAGAUGAUUUACAUGGUCGUGUCUCGAGG